RNAcentral lists this ribosomal RNA (510 nucleotides) under uncultured bacterium. RNAcentral describes it as "partial 16S ribosomal RNA". It matches the Rfam family "Bacterial small subunit ribosomal RNA", at positions 28 to 507 of the family's 1533-position model. The record is from RNAcentral.
GACGAACGCUGGCGGCGUGCUUAACACAUGCAAGUCGAACGAAGAGCGAUGGACGUUUGCUUCUAUCAAUCUUAGUGGCGGACGGGUGAGUAAAGCGUAAUCAACCUGCCCUUCAGAGGGGGACAACAGUUGGAAACGACUGCUAAUACCGCAUACGAUCUGACCUCGGCAUCGAGGGUAGAUGAAAGGUGGUCUCUACAUGUAAGCUAUCACUGACGGCGGGGCUUGCGUCUGGUUAGCUAGUUGGAGGGGUAACGGCCCACCAAGGCGAGGAUCAGUAGCCGGUCUGAGAGGAUGAACGGCCACAUUGGGACUGAGACACGGCCCAGACUCCUACGGGAGGCAGCAGUGGGGAAUCUUCCGCAAUGGACGAGAGUCUGACGGAUCAACGCCGCGUGAGUGAUGGCGGCCGUCGGGUUGGAAAGCUCUGUUUAUCGGGACGAAAGGCCUUUUUGCUAAUAGUGAGGAGGAUUGACGGUACCGGAAGAGAAAGCCACGGCUAACUACGUG